This 458-nucleotide ribosomal RNA is filed under the name uncultured Desulfobacula sp. RNAcentral describes it as "bacterial SSU rRNA". It matches the Rfam family "Bacterial small subunit ribosomal RNA", at positions 346 to 795 of the family's 1533-position model. The record is from RNAcentral. Lineage: Bacteria; Pseudomonadati; Thermodesulfobacteriota; Desulfobacteria; Desulfobacterales; Desulfobacteraceae.
UGGCAGCAGUGAGGAAUUUUGCGCAAUGGGGGCAACCCUGACGCAGCAACGCCGCGUGAGUGAAGAAGGCCUUUGGGUCGUAAAGCUCUGUCGAUAGGGAAGAAAUUAUUGUUGUUUAAUAGAUGACAGUAUUGACGGUACCUGUAGAGGAAGCACCGGCUAACUCCGUGCCAGCAGCCGCGGUAAUACGGGGGGUGCAAGCGUUAUUCGGAAUUAUUGGGCGUAAAGGGCGCGUAGGCGGUCUUGUCGGUCAGAUGUGAAAGCCCAGGGCUCAACCCUGGACGUGCAUUUGAAACAGCAAGACUUGAGUACGGGAGAGGAAAGCGGAAUUCCUGGUGUAGAGGUGAAAUUCGUAGAUAUCAGGAGGAACACCGAUGGCGAAGGCAGCUUUCUGGACCGAUACUGACGCUGAGGCGCGAAGGCGUGGGUAGCGAACGGGAUUAGAUACCCUGGUAGUC